Molecule: ribosomal RNA, 428 nt
Filed under: bacterium AET35A
Lineage: Bacteria
Description: bacterial SSU rRNA
Rfam family: Bacterial small subunit ribosomal RNA
Source: RNAcentral
UUGCUGGGGGAUUAGUGGCGAACGGGUGAGUAACACGUGAGUAACCUGCCCUUGACUCUGGGAUAAGCCUGGGAAACCGGGUCUAAUACUGGAUAUGACCUUCUGGCGCAUGCCAUGUUGGUGGAAAGCUUUAUUGCGGUUUUGGAUGGACUCGCGGCCUAUCAGCUUGUUGGUGGGGUAAUGGCCUACCAAGGCGACGACGGGUAGCCGGCCUGAGAGGGUGGACGGCCACACUGGGACUGAGACACGGCCCAGACUCCUACGGGAGGCAGCAGUGGGGAAUAUUGCACAAUGGGCGCAAGCCUGAUGCAGCGACGCCGCGUGGGGGAUGAAGGCCUUCGGGUUGUAAACCUCUUUCAGUAGGGAAGAAGCGAAAGUGACGGUACCUGCAGAAGAAGCGCCGGCUAACUACGUGCCAGCAGCCGCGG